RNAcentral lists this ribosomal RNA (637 nucleotides) under uncultured bacterium. RNAcentral's name for it is "bacterial SSU rRNA". It matches the Rfam family "Bacterial small subunit ribosomal RNA", at positions 202 to 842 of the family's 1533-position model. The record is from RNAcentral.
UAAAGAUUCAUCGCUGAUAGAUAGGCAUGCGUUCCAUUAGGCAGUUGGCGGGGUAACGGCCCACCAAACCGACGAUGGAUAGGGGUUCUGAGAGGAAGGUCCCCCACAUUGGUACUGAGACACGGACCAAACUCCUACGGGAGGCAGCAGUGAGGAAUAUUGGUCAAUGGGCGUAAGCCUGAACCAGCCAAGUCGCGUGAGGGAUGAAGGUUCUAUGGAUCGUAAACCUCUUUUAUAAGGGAAUAAAGUGCGGGACGUGUCCCGUUUUGUAUGUACCUUAUGAAUAAGGAUCGGCUAACUCCGUGCCAGCAGCCGCGGUAAUACGGAGGAUCCGAGCGUUAUCCGGAUUUAUUGGGUUUAAAGGGUGCGUAGGCGGCCUUUUAAGUCAACGGUGAAAGUCUGUGGCUCAACCAUAGAAUUGCCGUUGAAACUGGGAGGCUUGAGUAUGUUUGAGGCAGGCGGAAUGCGUGGUGUAGCGGUGAAAUGCUUAGAUAUCACGCAGAACCCCGAUUGCGAAGGCAGCCUGCCAAGCCAUGACUGACGCUGAUGCACGAAAGCGUGGGGAUCAAACAGGAUUAGAUACCCUGGUAGUCCACGCAGUAAACGAUGAUCACUAGCUGUUUGCGAUACAGUGUAA